This is a long non-coding RNA of Sinocyclocheilus anshuiensis, 1856 nucleotides long. RefSeq lists it as uncharacterized. The transcript has 2 exons. The record is from RefSeq and is a predicted model, not a curated record. NCBI's taxonomy places the organism in Eukaryota, Metazoa, Chordata, Actinopteri, Cypriniformes, Cyprinidae.
AUGACUAAUCUAAUCUCUUACACUACAAGACGAAAUAUAACACUGAAGAAAGAAAACAACACAUGUUUAUGAUUGGCACCAUGCUGCUUUUUUAUUGCUAAAAUUUAAUAUUUUUUGUACAAAAUCAUGCGGGGUGCAUCUGUAGUGCAUAGAUCAGACUAAGCAUAGAGUUUCACAUUCAGAGGCAAAAUCAGCAAUGCAUAUCAGGUCAUCAAAGCAUAUAAACUUAUGUUCUGCACUAUUUGCACUGAACAUGAAAAAGAACUUGUCAUUUUAUUCCAUUUAAACUCACAAUUGUUAGUUUUGCUAAAACGCACUGUAUCUUACCUCUUGAAUCACAGACUUGUUACAUUUUCAUCAUACAAUACUCAAAUCCAAAAAAGUAACUUAUUUUAAUGAAUACAUCUGUGAAUAAUUUACAGCAGCAAUAAACCUUUGGGAUUUCAUGCAUUUGAAAAUAAAGUCACAACAUUGGUCUACUCAUAGAUUUAUCACAUUUCUGCAUAAAUAUGUUCAAGCAAAGCUUAAUUAUUGCAUGCAUCACAAAACAUUUUUUAUCCACUUCUACCAUGCAUUAACAAAUGUGUUUUGCACUCUUAUUAAGAAAAUACUAGUUAAUUCCCAAUGGAUCUUUUUCAUUUUGUAGUAUAUUGUUUACCCAGGAUUCACUGAGACAAUGAAUCAUCAGAGUGUCACAAACUGCUACCAGAACACUGCUCAUAUUGCUGUUAAUGAAAAUAAGCUGUAAAUAUACAUACAGCUUAUGUGCGUUCCACAAUGGUUUGAAUGUAAACAUGCAAGGUCAAUAGAAGGCCAUAAGCCCUGCAUAUAUAUACACAUUUACUACCUAUCAACUUUCUUCCACCUGUACAAAAUAAAAAAGGUAUUUCAUAUUUGUCAGACCCUUGGAGCUACCUUCACAUAUUUAUUUGAUGUCAACAAAUAAUGGGGCUGUUAACAGCUAGUUUUGUAUUACCAAAUAUGAGCAAUGGGAUGUUCUAGAUAAAACACUUAUCACUGUCACAAAUAUGCUACAUAUUUCUAUUUCACAAACACCACUGAACUAUUCCGACACUAUAAUUCAUGCAUAAACUGGUUAUUGCUUCUAAACGUUGAACUUAAUACACAUCAUGGCUUGCAUAUCUUUGAGUAUAUUUAAAAAUAUAGUUUGCAUUCCAGUCAUUGAGGUAUUUAUCUACAUUACAAUGCUUUGAUAAUUGCUUUAUGCCACUUAAUAUACUACAUGUUACUUUAAAAUCUAGAGUUUCUGCUACUAGGAAUAAUCUACCCACAGCUCUAGUCUGAGACAACAUUACCUGAUGGAGAAUGCGAUAUUAGAGGUAUGAAUACAAACACAGUUCUAGGUUACCCUUUCUAAUCAGGACGAGAAUACUUUAGUCUUCUUUGUGUCCGAUUAUUACAGACCAAAUAAUGUUUCAGGAUCAACUGUUUCCAUAAGGAAUAAUCUUGAAACAGGUAUGAAAUAAAACUCUUGACUUCUUCUAAGCCACCAAGCCAAAUUUUCUGCCAGUUAGGGACUUUCGUUUUGAUCCGAGUCAACUAUUUUGGGCCCAGAACUUAAUUUUGCACAGUACAAACUAGGACAAACUCACACAGUGCUUAUGAUGCACCUGUAUGUAUUUCAGCAUGGCUAGCUGCACGUCAAUACCAACCGCCAUUUUUCUAAUCCUCAGCAUGCUACAACACAUUAUUAUUAACUAAUAGUGAUUACCUGUGAAUAAACAACUGUGUUUGCCGAUUAAAAAGUAAAACGAACAAACUCAGCAUGAGUGAAAAAAUGACUCGUCCAGUCACCUCUUAAUCAAAUCGGUCAAGAUGUAGAUGCUGCAUCCAUG